This is a long non-coding RNA of Harpia harpyja (harpy eagle), 6366 nucleotides long. RefSeq lists it as uncharacterized. The record is from RefSeq and is a predicted model, not a curated record. The transcript is spliced from 2 exons. Lineage: Eukaryota; Metazoa; Chordata; Aves; Accipitriformes; Accipitridae.
UGUGGGGGUGCUUGUGCAAGGGGUGAGUGUGCAUGUGCUGCAAGUGUGCACGGGGCAGGAGUGCACGUGCAGAGCAUUAGUGCACAUGCAUCUGAACGUGAGGAGGCAACUUGUGUUACACAAAGGUGUCCCCCCCUCCCUCAAGCUCCCAGGGGUCCUUGUAGCAGGACCCCCACACCAAGGCAACCCCAGUGCCAGCCGUGCCCUUGGGGACCCUUCUGUGGCUCCCUGAGGGGGUGCAGGGGCAACACCCCAUGUCAGGCUCCCAGAGGCUGCCCUGAGCUCCAUGAGGACACGCAGCUGGUGGCCCUUCCCACACAGGGCACACUAGCAUGGCCCAGCUUGAAGAAAGACCCCCCCAAAUCCUGACCGAAUUUCCAAGGCACCUUAAAUGCCCAAGCAAAAUCCGGCAGGAGCUGGCAGCUGCAGAGAGGGACCUGCCACAAAAUGAUAACAUCUUCCAUGCUAUAUAUAGCGCUGUCUUUAUAUACAUAUACAGAUAUAUAUUUAUUUAUGCUGCUUCUAGGAGGAUGCCAGGGAGAAGGAAACACACAGGUAGGGCAUGUGUAGGACUGCAGGGGUGAAGUGUGCAAGAUGUGCAAGGUGUGAGCACAUGCAUGGGGCAUGAGUGCAUAUGCAAGCGUGUGCGGGGUGUGAGCGUGCAAGGUGUGAGCGCCUGUGCGAGGUGUGAGCGUAUGCAUAAAGCAGGAGGUGUGUGCAAGGUGCAAGCGCUUGUACAAGGUGUGCAAGCUGUCUGCAUGCAGGGUGCAAGCGUGCGCGUGCAAGACAAGACCGUGCAUGCAAGGCAUGUCUUUGCAGGUGACGAGCACACGUGCAAAGCACAAGUGGGUGCAGAGGGGCUCAGGGGUGCUGUGUCCCCAGCUGGGACAGCAAUGCCACCUCAGGGGACCCAUUGGGGCACAGGGGUGGGGGCACUUGCAGCACCUGAAGCAAUGUGGGGUGCGAUGGAAAGAGGGGAAGAGCCACCCCAGGCUCCCUGCAGCCGGGAGCGGGGAAGGUGCCGGAGCAUUGUCAGAGGAGGGAGGAUUUCUUUAUUUUGAUGAUAAUUUCCUAGUGUUUGGGGCUGUCAGGUUCCUGGUUAGCAGCUCCCCCUCCGUGGAGCUGCUCCAUGUAGUUGACACUGCAAUUGUUUUCUGAAGAGAACACGCGACUCUCUUCUUAUGUAUUCCCUUUCCCAGUGUUUGUAUUUGCUUCAAAGUCUCCUCAUCACCCUGUUUGGUGACAAAAACUCAUGUCUGAAGAUCAGGGUAAUGUGUUGCUUUUCAAAGCCCGUGGAGGAGGGGGUUGGUAGACAUGGGUUUGCUGCAUUAUUUACUUCCCCACGGCACCCUGCCUCCCUGGCAGCCCUGCCUGUUCCCCCCCACUGCCAGGUGCUGGGGCACCAGCUCUGCCAUCUGGGACCCCCUGGGCGCUUAGCAUCCUACCCCACGCUCUGGGAUAGUUGGGGACACCCAGGCACAGCAGCACUCAGGACAAGCAGGAGGUUGGGGGGUACCCACACUGUGCCCAGCAGCUGUUUAGCCAGGCAGGAGCCCCCAGGUAGGAUUUGGAGCCCUCAUACCCUGCCACGGAGCAGAGCAGACACCCCCCAGCUCUGCCAGUGGCACAUGGCAUAGUGACAAGGUGGUCCAUCCCUUGCCCACGUCCAGGCUGGGCAAGGGGGGGGUCAAUGGGUCUGCACCCGAGGCUCCCCGUUGCAUGGCGGCACUUGCUAACCGAUUGUGUGCCUGUGCCAUGGCAGGCAGACUGGCCCCAGCCCCAUGAGCUGCUGGUACCCUGUGGUCACCUUGCCUGGUGGCCUGUCCCCUCCAGUGGGACCCCCGCAGAUGUGUCCUUGCAGCUGGCAAGCAAAUCAGGGCAGGAAGCAGAGUGCGGGAGACGGGAGGGAAUGCGGGAGCGGUGUGUGCUACCCUGAGCUCAGCACCGGUGCUCAGCACCCUCCAAACGGCAAGUGUGCAGGCAUACAGUAUGUGUGGCUGGGUGUGCACACUGAAUGCAGCUGUGUGUGCAUGCUUGGGUGUGCACACUGAAUGCAAUGCGGUCAGGUGUGCACAUGCAUGUUGAAUGCAGCUGGGUGUGCACAGCUGUGCGUGCACGCUGAUUGCAGCUGGAUGUGCACGGCUGUGUGCGCAUGCUGAGCACGACUAGGUGUGAGUUGCAGCACCCGCUCGCACAGGCAUGGGACGUGUGCUGGGGAAUCGCGCUGGCAGGUGUGCUGGCACAGCCUCCCCCUCCACGUGUGUGAGGUGCCACGAGCACAGGCAGUUCUCUAUCUAAUUGAUCAAUUAAUUAUCUCCGGCAUUCAGCUGCAUAUUGGUUUUAGAUGAAGGGAUAGGCUAACAAGCAGAUUAGGCGUGUGUCUUCAAGGGAGUGAUCGAGCGGAGACGUGGGAGGAAGGAAGAGAGAUAGGAGAUAGGCGAAUGCAGAAUAAGGGCCCCUUGCUAUUGCAAAGACUGGAGCCAGGAGCUGGAGCUGGCACCAGGGUCACAGCUGCAGCGAUGCAGAGGCACUGUGCAGAGGAUGCUCCAGAAAUGUUGAUGCCGAGACAGAGGAUGCUCCAGAAAUGAUGGGCCAAGGCAGGAGGAUGCUCCAGAAAUGGUGAUGCCGAGAUACAGGGUGCUCCAGAAAUGAUGGGGUGAGGAAGGAGGAUGCUCCAGAAAUACUGCUGCUGUGGCAGGAGGAUGAUGCUGUGGCAUGAGGAGGAUGCUCCAGAAUCAGUGCUGAGUGCCCAGUGCCCACCAUGGUCUGCAGCCCUGGCCAGGCUCAUCCUUUCUCCAUCCCCUCUGCCCUGCCCAGGAUGGCUGGGGCCAGUCAGGGGAGACUCCUGGGUGCCACCGGUCCUCGUGGGUCUGGGCAGGCAGCAGGUGGCGUGACCAUGCAUGCUGGGGAGCAGGGUCAGCACAGCUGAUUCUCCUGGAGCUCUUGUGUUUUCUAGGACAAUCGGCACCCCAAAACUGCUGGGGUCGGGCAAACGCAGGCAACUUUCCACUGGUGUUCAGGAGAAAGGAUGGCAUCAGUGUCAGCCCCCGCUCACCCCUGACUUCCCCGGUGGUGCCUGAUAGUAGCAAGCCCCUAGGGAUGGCCCGAGGAGGUGGCCGCGGGUAUCAGCCAUCCCACCUAGCAUCGGGGCUCAUUAACGUGACAGGCUGUCACUCAGGCUGCAGCCAGCCCUGGGGGCACACCUGGGGCUGAAGAGACCCCCACCAGCAUAGGGCCGGUGGCAGAGCCUUUGCAUCCCUCCAGCACGCUUUACAGCCCGUGGGGACAGCGGGGAGGGCUGCACACCCUCACCGAGCCUCCCUGGGCACCCGGGCGCAAUGUCUCCCUGCAGGUUGUGGGGGCAGGGGGGGGGGCCGCAGCCAGGCACAGCGUGUGGGCAGGGGAAGGCAGCAGUGCCUGCCGCAGUCCCUGCCUGUCGCCCCAAGACCACAGUCCCAGAGUGCCUCGUUUGCUGCCAGUCUGUGUCAGGUGCUGAUCCCCACCUGUCAGCGCGGGAUAUGACAGUCCAUUAAUGACCGUUGUGGAGCAGGAUAGCUCUGCACACCGGGGAGGAAUAAUUGUUUGACUUUCUUUACUUCCCAUCCUGCUGUCACUUGAUCUUCGGAGUCCUGUCAACCAUGCGGCAUCCUCCAGCCCCCUCCCGCAGCACAAACAAGCACCGCACGGCUCAGAGCACACACACGCACUGUAUCCUGCAAGCAUUGAGCAGUCACACACGGGAGCUCACGUACAUGUAUGCACACGCGGUGUGCACACACAUCCCUUAGCCUGUCUGCAUGCAGCAAUGAAGUACAUGCACGUACACAUGCAAAUGCAGCCUAUAUCCUGCAUGCAUGUUCCUGCACAAACAUACACAGCAUAUACACACACAUCCUUUAUUCUGGGAGCAUUCAGCACUAAGAAACACACCCACAUGCUCGAACACACCACCCGUUCAGCGUGCGCAUGCACACACACAUGAUCAGCCCUGGGACAUGUAUGUACAGGCACACACAGUCCAUAUACAGCACCGGGACACACAAACACACCCAUACAGCGUUCCCACACCUGUCACCUCCAUCCCACAUGCAUUUGCAGGCAGGGAGCACACGCAUGCCAUUGCCUGGGCACGUGAGGUACCAGCACGUCCCAGUGUUUUUGCCAGUCGGGAACUCUGGCUUGUCCUAGCUGAGCUCCAGCCACCCCCCUCAGCCUGGCACAGGCACAGCUGUGGCCCCAAAACCUGCCCAGGGAGGGGGGGUGUGCCCCCAAAUGUGCAUACUGCAUGCACUGAGCGUGCAUUAGUGUGCAGAGGUGUGUGCCCAGCCACGUCCAUUCACCCAGGGCCGGGCUCCCAUCAUGUCCCACAGCACAGGAGGAGCUGAAAAGAGACAAGCAGGGUUAGGCUGAGGUUGUGGGGCAGGCGAUGUACUGCCGAGGAGGAGGAGGAGGAAGGGGGCAAUGCUAGCUGAGGUUGCGGUCACUGCACAGCCAGGGGAUGGGUUGGCUGGCCACGACAAUGCCGCACAGGGAAGGCUCAUCGCGUCUGUCGGGGCCCUCGAGGGCAGAAAGCAUUUUUCUCGUUAGCCCAGACGUGCUUGCCACUCUCGGGCUGCCUGCCUGAUGCCCGCAGCCGUUCCUCCUCCCCGCUGCUCCCGCCGCUUGCCUCGGCAUAAUUAAAGAUCCAACGACCUUUGCCGGCUGCCUGAGACGCUGGAACAAAUGAACGGUAAGCGCCAGAUUACAGCCUGGCUCGGCAGCUCCGCAAAUCCCUUUAAUGAGACGUUUAGGCAGGGCCAGCGGGGUGCCCGGCUGCCAGGGUGGGCUGGCACGGGCGGUGGCGGCACCUCGGCCAGCCUGGCCAUUGCUUGGGGACAAUGGCACCGAUGGAUCCCAGUCCUGACUCCAUCCCUGUCCUUCUGGGCAAGGGUCUUCAGGGCACCGGCCCCACAGGCAGCCUGGUAGCCAGUCCUCGUUGCAGUGGUCACCGGGGCUCCAGCUCCCCCCCAUCUUGCUUUGCACUCACAUAUGUCCCGCGGGAACAACGCAGUGAACAGCACUGGGGAGAGGGCUAAUGGCACCAGGACCAGCAUCCUGCAGGGACACGGGGUCCCCAGCCACAGGGCUCGGGAACGGGCACAGCAAGCCCAGCCUGGGGCUGCUGGGAGGUUUAUCCCUUCCGAUUGUAAUAUCAAAAAAAGAAAAAGCCUGAAUGACUGAUGGGGCCGUAAGGAUGCAAAUCAAUAAUUGACACCACGAACAAUGUCUCCACUCAUAUUAGUGCCAAAUUAAGCUGUUUACUCAAACUUUUGCCGCACAAGGAGAAGCCGGGGCCGGCGCGGGGAGCCGAAGAUGGAUGGCAUGCUCGGGGGCCCGGAGGUGUGAUUUUUCUUGCCGUGACAGACAGUUUGCAACAACGAUGGCCUUCCCCUCCUCACCUUCAAUUUUGGAAGGUGGAGAUGUGACAAGGGGACUCGGAGAGCACCCAGUGUCCAUGGCAUUAAGUGAUUCACUGCCCCCAUCUCGCUCUGCUUUCUGCUCACCAUGUCCAAGAGCCUGCUGGUAACCACAGCACACUCCAUGUCCUCCGGCCAUUUGAGUCCCUCCCCACGGCCGUGACAUCUUCCCCGUUCCCCACCAGCUGGUGAGUUGUUGGCCAAGUACACAUUUCCAGCAAAAUUUGAGGGAAGACCAAGAUGACCAGUGAAUUCAGGUCAAGCUCAGCCAGUACAGAAAUGAAACCAGGGAUGCAACGCAGGAGAGCAGCAAUAUUUUCCAACCUAGUGAUUCCAACAUGGGGUUUUCCAAAUUGACGAUCUCUGGCUAGCAGAGCAAAACCCAUUGGCUAGGGCACACAGUGCCCUGCACCCUCUUGGUGCUCAGCAUCACCCAAGCCCUGGGAUGCUCACAUUUGGGACGCAGUGUGACAGCUGGGCAGCAUGGAGACCUGAGGAUGGAAGAGCCAGGGAUGCUCCCUCUUCCCAGAGUGGCGCAGGCAGAGAGAGGGCAGAGGCGGGGGCCGGCAACAUCCACCUCAUGCCUUUUAAUAAAACAUGAAUUAGGUGCCAACGCAUAUUAGAUUCACUUCCCUGGUGACAGAAAAUCAAAGGCUUCUCCCAUCUUUUCUAGAGGCGCGCUCCUGAUUGAUCUGGAAGAAGCAGCUCAGUGCGAGGGAAGGAGUCUAUACACACCGAAACAGCUCUUUAAUUUCUUAAUUUAAUAUCUGACACGUAAAGAUUCUCAUUAAGCCAGUCAAUGAAGCCUGGAAAUACAAUUUUCGUGCAAACUGUCGCUAUCAUAACUUACACGAAACUUCAGAUGGUGCCCUGUAAGCGGUGUGAUUAAAACCAUUCAUCUUCCCUGUCA